Molecule: long non-coding RNA, 1666 nt
Filed under: Homo sapiens (human)
Lineage: Eukaryota; Metazoa; Chordata; Mammalia; Primates; Hominidae
Description: HSALNT0226302
Source: RNAcentral
CGGAAAUUAUCUCCCAAGGCGGAAGUAAACGGCGCGCGACGGUCGGUUGAAAAGUUGGCCGGGGCGGGCGAAGGCUGCGAGCGGGGCCGUCCGGGUGGUCUGGGCGACUGCCCCGAGGGCCCGCCACGCCCUGGGGCCAGCCCUGACCGUCUUACCUCAGUUUCCCCACCUGUAAGAGGGAUCCGCUGGCGGGUCCCUUUGCCAUCCCCCUUCUCUAAAUGGAGGACCCUUCCUGCCUCUUUGAGCUCCUGGGGGCUCUGGGAGCUCCAGGCGUCCUUAAGAGGCUUGUGGCCGCGUGGCUCCAAACUUGUUUUUGUUUUGUUUUGUUUUGUUUUGUUUUUUGAGACGGAGUCUCGCUCUGUCACCCAAGCUGGAGUGUAGCGGCGCGAUCACGGCUCACUGCAAGCUCCGCCUCCCGGGUUCUCGCCAUUCUCCUGCCUCAGCCUCCCGAGUACCUGGGACUAGAGGCGCCCGCCACCACACCUGGCUAAUUUUUUUGUAUAUUUUUUUUAGUAGAGACAGGGUUUCACCGUGUUGGCCAGGAUGGUCUCAACCUCCUGACCUCGUGAUCCGCCUGCCUCCGCCUCCCAAAGUGCUGAGAUUGCAGGCGUGAGCCACCGCCCCCGGCCCAAACAUUUUUUUUUUUUUUUUUUUUUUUUUUUUGAGAUGGAGUCUCCCUCUGUUGCCCAGGCUGGAGUGCAAUGGCAUGAUCUCGGCUCACUGCAACCUCCACCUCCUGGGUUCAAGUGAUUCUCCUGCCUCAGCCUCCCGAGUAACUGGGACUACAGGCGCGCAGGCCACCACCCCUGGCUAAUUUUUGUAUUUUUAGUAGAGACAGGUUUCCACCAUGUUGGCCAGGUGGUCUGCCCACUUUGGCCUCCCAAAGUGCUGGGAUUACAUAUGUGAGCCACCAUGCCCGGCCUCAACUUUUUUUGAGACAGAGUCUCACUCUGUUGCCCAGGCUGGAGUGCAGUGACAUUAUCUCAGCUCACUGCAGCUUCCACCUCCCAGGCUCAAGCAAUCCUCCCACCUCAGCCUCUCCAAUAGCUGGGACCACAGGUGCGCACCACCACACCCAGCUAAUUUUUGUAUUUUUUUGUAGAGACAGGGUCUCACUUUGUUGUCCAGGCUGGUCUCCAACUCCUGAGCUCAAGGGAUCCUCCCGCCUUGGCCUCCAUAAGUGCUGGGAUUACAGGUGUAAGCCGCUACUUCCUGUCGUCUACUCUCUGUAUUUUGCAAAUAAAACGUUUGCAGGUCAUGUCAAACAUCAAGUGAUUGAUCUGUGGGGACGCAGGCGCCUUCCUCAGAGCCCCUCCCUCCCCUGCUUCUGCCCCAGCCAGCCUUGUGCAUCUGCAGAUACCGAGGCUGCUCAGGGGCGCUCUGCUGUCCACUGAGUGCGAGGAGUCUCAGGCGCUGCAGGGACCCGGGUGCUGCCACACGGGUGGACAGCCCAUGGUGGCCGGUUGGAGGCCUCUAGCACAGACCCUGCACACCUGGAGGCUUCUGCUGGCAAAGCCCUGGGACCUAAGACCAGAUGCCCAGGGCUAUGGCCCACUUGGGAUGACACACAGGGUCCCCAGAUGUGUGCAUCUACCCCAGUGACCCCCUUUUUGGGAUGCUUGUGUCUGUUCUGGGGCUGCUCUGGGCCCCAGGGGUUGGGGGUGGG